This 336-nucleotide long non-coding RNA is filed under the name Panax ginseng (ginseng). RNAcentral's name for it is "long non-coding RNA (PGIN_LNC003758)". The record is from RNAcentral. Lineage: Eukaryota; Viridiplantae; Streptophyta; Magnoliopsida; Apiales; Araliaceae.
AACACAUUUACUUUCACUAUUCUUGAUGUUCUUGAAGGUUUUGAAAAUAAAACAUGAAAAUUGUCACUACGGAUUCGUUAUAACACCGAAUCCGUUUAUUUAAACUUUGGUCUCUUCGUAUCAACAUGCAUAACAUCAUACGAGUGUAAAUUUUACGAAAACAUUUAUGUUUGACAUACUAAAAUCACGUAUAAGGCCUUAAGGCCAAAACCCAAACUCUGUAAUUUUGUAAAAAUCAUAUACGAUGUAAUACUAUGAAACUGAUGAUAUGGAAUCAUGCAAUAUAUAUAUAAAACAUGUUAUGCUAUUCUUAUUAUUACAUAUACCAUAUAAUAG